RNAcentral lists this ribosomal RNA (490 nucleotides) under uncultured bacterium. RNAcentral's name for it is "partial 16S ribosomal RNA". It matches the Rfam family "Bacterial small subunit ribosomal RNA", at positions 30 to 507 of the family's 1533-position model. The record is from RNAcentral.
AUUGAACGCUGGCGGCAGGCCUAACACAUGCAAGUCGAACGGUAACAGGAAGAAGCUUGCUUCUUUGCUGACGAGUGGCGGACGGGUGAGUAAUGUCUGGGAAAUUGCCUGAUGGAGGGGGAUAACUACUGGAAACGGUAGCUAAUACCGCAUAAUUUCGCAAGACCAAAGAGGGGGACCUUCGGGCCUCUUGCCAUCGGAUGUGCCCAGAUGGGAUUAGCUAGUAGGUGGGGUAACGGCUCACCUAGGCGACGAUCCCUAGCUGGUCUGAGAGGAUGACCAGCCACACUGGAACUGAGACACGGUCCAGACUCCUACGGGAGGCAGCAGUGGGGAAUAUUGCACAAUGGGCGCAAGCCUGAUGCAGCUAUGCCGCGUGUAUGAAGAAGGCCUUCGGGUUGUAAAGUACUUUCAGCGGGGAGGAAGGGAGUAAAGUUAAUACCUUUGCUCAUUGACGUUACCCGCAGAAGAAGCACCGGCUAACUCCGUG